This 23-nucleotide non-coding RNA is filed under the name Arabidopsis thaliana (thale cress). The record is from RNAcentral. Lineage: Eukaryota; Viridiplantae; Streptophyta; Magnoliopsida; Brassicales; Brassicaceae.
GAAUGAAGAUGAUGAUGCUGAUG